This 301-nucleotide ribosomal RNA is filed under the name uncultured bacterium. RNAcentral describes it as "partial 16S ribosomal RNA". It matches the Rfam family "Bacterial small subunit ribosomal RNA", at positions 509 to 807 of the family's 1533-position model. The record is from RNAcentral.
CAGUAGCCACGGGAAUACGGAGGGUGCAAGCGUUAAUCGGAAUUACUGGGCGUAAAGCGCACGCAGGCGGCUUGUUAAGCCAGAUGUGAAAUCCCCGAGCUUAACUUGGGAACUGCAUUUGAAACUGGCAAGCUAGAGUCUUGUAGAGGGGGGUAGAAUUCCAGGUGUAGCGGUGAAAUGCAUAGAGAUCUGGAGGAAUACCGGUGGCGAAGGCGGCCCCCUGGACAAAGACUGACGCUCAGGUGCGAAAGCGUGGGGAGCAAACAGGAUUAGAUACCCCUGUAGUCCCUGUCUCUUAUAC